UUGACCAAUAAUAUAAAAAAGAAGAUGUGGUAUUAUUGCCAAUGAGACAACUAUCCACAAAAGACCAAAAUGACACAGACAUUAACAACUAUAGGUCACCGUACGGCCUUCAACAAUGAGCAAAGCCCAUACCGCAUAGUCAGCUAUAAAAGGCCCCGAUAAGACAAUGUAAAACAAUUCAAACGAGAAAACUAACGGCCUUAUUUAUGUAAAAAAAGAACGAAAAAAAAAUAUGUAACACAUAAACAAACGUCAACCACUGAAUUACAGGC
Molecule: long non-coding RNA, 272 nt
Filed under: Mytilus galloprovincialis (Mediterranean mussel)
Lineage: Eukaryota; Metazoa; Mollusca; Bivalvia; Mytilida; Mytilidae
Source: RNAcentral